Molecule: ribosomal RNA, 1433 nt
Filed under: Curtobacterium sp.
Lineage: Bacteria; Bacillati; Actinomycetota; Actinomycetes; Micrococcales; Microbacteriaceae
Description: bacterial SSU rRNA
Rfam family: Bacterial small subunit ribosomal RNA
Source: RNAcentral
CCCGUUCAUUAUCCAUGCAGUCGACGAUGAAGCCCAGCUUGCUGGGUGGAUUAGUGGCGAACGGGUGAGUAACACGUGAGUAACCUGCCCCUGACUCUGGGAUAAGCGUUGGAAACGACGUCUAAUACUGGAUAUGACCGCCGAUCGCAUGGUCUGGUGGUGGAAAGAUUUUUUGGUUGGGGAUGGACUCGCGGCCUAUCAGCUUGUUGGUGAGGUAAUGGCUCACCAAGGCGACGACGGGUAGCCGGCCUGAGAGGGUGACCGGCCACACUGGGACUGAGACACGGCCCAGACUCCUACGGGAGGCAGCAGUGGGGAAUAUUGCACAAUGGGCCGAAAGGCUGAUGCAGCAAACGCCGCGUGAGGGAUGACGGCGUUCGGGUUGUAAACCUCUUUUAGUAGGGAAAGAAAGCGUAAAGUGACGGUACCUGCAGAAAAAGCACCCGGCUAACUACGUGCCAGCAGCCGCGGUAAUACGUAGGGUGCAAGCGUUGUCCGGAAUUAUUGGGCGUAAAGAGCUCGUAGGCGGUUUGUCGCGUCUGCUGUGAAAUCCCGAGGCUCAACCUCGGGCUUGCAGUGGGUACGGGCAGACUAGAGUGCGGUAGGGGAGAUUGGAAUUCCUGGUGUAGCGGUGGAAUGCGCAGAUAUCAGGAGGAACACCGAUGGCGAAGGCAGAUCUCUGGGCCGUAACUGACGCUGAGGAGCGAAAGCGUGGGGAGCGAACAGGAUUAGAUACCCUGGUAGUCCACGCCGUAAACGUUGGGCGCUAGAUGUAGGGACCUUUCCACGGUUUCUGUGUCGUAGCUAACGCAUUAAGCGCCCCGCCUGGGGAGUACGGCCGCAAGGCUAAAACUCAAAGGAAUUGACGGGGGGCCCGCACAAGCGGCGGAGCAUGCGGAUUAAUUCGAUGCAACGCGAAGAACCUUACCAAGGCUUGACAUACACCGGAAACGGCCAGAGAUGGUUGCCCCCCUUGUGGUCGGUGUACAGGUGGUGCAUGGUUGUCGUCAGCUCGUGUCGUGAGAUGUUGGGGUUAAAGUCCCGCAACGAGCGCAACCAUCGUUCUAUGGUUGCUAGCGCGAUAUGGCGGGGACUUCAUAGCAGACUGGCCGGGUCAACUCGGAGGAAGGUGGGGAUGACGUCAAAUCAUCAUGCCCCUUAUGUCUUGGGCUUCACGCAUGCUACAAUGGCCGGUACAAAGGGCUGCGAUACCGUAAGGUGGAGCGAAUCCCAAAAAGCCGGUCUCAGUUCGGAUUGAGGUCUGCAACUCGACCUCAUGAAGUCGGAGUCGCUAGUAAUCGCAGAUCAGCAACGCUGCGGUGAAUACGUUCCCGGGCCUUGUACACACCGCCCGUCAAGUCAUGAAAGUCGGUAACACCCGAAGCCGGUGGCCUAACCCUUGUGGAAGGAGCCGUCGCAGAGAGAUACUAGGG